UCCCCCACUGCAGCACUGGGGCGGGGAGAGGGUGGCCACCUCCAAGCUGUGGCGCACGCGCAGAGUCGUGCAUCUGCAGCGGCAGCCAUCUUUGAGAGCCGCACAAUGGCUGUGACGCGGCAUAGGACCUUUGCGAGCCUGAGCCUGCCUUUAACAACCGCCUGUCUUUGAGAACUGUGUUCAGAACGCAAGGAAAAUCAGUGCGAGGGAGACGUCCCGGCGGUGUCACAUCCCAGAACCUGGCAAGUCUCUCACGAGAUGCGUAAAGAUACCAAGGAAAAGAAUCAACAUCACUCAAAGACUGCAUUCUAUUCUCUUCUGGGGAAGGGGAGAAGGCAAAGCUGCAUAAGGAAAAAGCUUUUGACCUUGGUCCUUCACACUGUCAUCUUACUCCAGACUGCAAAAAGACAGAAGUCUCUACUUACCACUGCUUUAUUGCAAUGUGACUCAACAAGACCCAGGGUGAAGAACUAGACAUUGAGACUGGAAGCAAUGGAAUCCUGAAAAGGCCCUAGGUGGUUUCUUUUGUGGGUCCUUAAUCCCUUGAGAACCCUCAAUGAAGGAUACGGGGCCUAAAGUACCAAUGACUGUGGGAGCUGAGGGGCUGAAGUAAGAAGGGGAGAGUCCAUCAGAGUGGAUGGAGGGAUAGAGGAGGUUUCUGCACGGGGACCUAUGAGAUUUUAAGAGGAUAACUGUACAUUACAGUAAAGGAAAUAAUCAGGCCUUUGUGAGACUACUGUGAUACUGGCACUGAACUGACACUGUUUCCAGGAGACUCAGAAAGUCCAUGUAGGCCUCCAGGUCUUACAGUGGGAACCACAGCCACUCAAAUGGAAAGUCAGUGCAGUGGGAGUAAUUGGAUCCCAGAAUGGCAGUGGCCAAGUGGCAUCACUCAAACUUCAAAGGCCAGACCCAUCAGAAACAGUUUUGUUUAAGGUGGCAAGGCCAGCAAUACAUCUUCACUGUCUUACCUCUGAAGUACAUCAACUCUCCAGCCCUAAAUUACAUUUGGUGUGCGGGGAUCUUGAUCAACAUUCCCUUUCAAAGGAUAUCAUAUUGACCCAUUAUGUUAAUGAAAUUGUGCUGAAUGGACCCAGUAAGCAGAAAUAACAACUACUGUACACUUGUUGGAUUCAUGAACAGAUUGUCAUGGUGGCGGGAUUGAAGGUUAUGCAUGGGCUCAGAAACAUGGACCUCCACUCACCCAGGCUGAGUGCUAAUCUGCCAGCAGCAGACAGCAACACUGUGUCGUUGACAUGGCACAAUUCUAAGGAUGUUCAGCCAGCUAUUUGGUAGCAGGUUGAUUACAUUGGACCACUUUCAUCAUGGAAAGGGAUCUUUAUCACCAUUCUUUCCCCAAAGAUAUUACACUAAUCAACUACAUUAAUGAAUUUAUGCUGAUAGAACCUAUUGAACAAGAAUUGCAACUUCUCUACAGUUAUUGAACAAGUUUUGGCCUGCUACUGGGCCUUAGCAGAAACUGAAUGCUUGACCAUUGGCCACAAAGUAACCAUGUGACCUGAGCUGCUUACCAUCAGCUGGAUGUUAUCUGACCUAUUAUGCAUAAAGAUGGGCAUGCACAGUUAUAGUCCAUCAUGAACAGAAAGUGCCUACAGCUAAGACCUCAUGAAUAGCUUCCUAAGAUCAGUUGACAGAGGAAGAGAAAACACAAGUCUGUUUACAGAUGGUUUUGCACCAUAUACAGACUUUAUGCUCUGUUGAACUAGAAGUCUAUGUUCCAGAAGAAAGAAUGCUUCCAACAGGAGAUAAAAUGAUAACCCCCUCGAAUAAAAGUUAAGACUGCCACCUG
Molecule: non-coding RNA, 1810 nt
Organism: Equus caballus (horse)
Lineage: Eukaryota; Metazoa; Chordata; Mammalia; Perissodactyla; Equidae
Source: RefSeq, a predicted model, not a curated record